CCCUGUGGAAGGCUCACCAGCUCAUAGUUCUUCCUGCAGUUGUGGCCCCUCCAGUGCCUCUGGAUCAGCGUGGCAGCAUUCUUCAGCUUCAGGAAGUUGGACCUGAAACAGCAGCAGUGACACAAACAAAGAAACUGAGACUUGAUGAGGUUGGACUGGAGCCUCUUCUGACUGACCCUGAGUUAGCCAAGUGCUGUUUCCCCUGCACACAGUAGGCUGCUUCAAUAGAAUAGUCAUCUCCAACCUCAUGGAGGACAGAGAGGAGUCUGCUGGAUACAGAAAUAAAGGAGGAGAGAAAGAUGGACGUGUCAUUGUGUAGGUAUACAUAUGUCCCUUACACAGAAUAUGAGACAUGCUCAGUAAUUUAUAAAACCUCAGAUUUCCUCUUUUGGAAAUUUCCUGUCCGUGGGUGUAUCUCGUGUAGCCGCAUGUGUGCAUGUAG
Molecule: long non-coding RNA, 442 nt
Organism: Nycticebus coucang (slow loris)
Lineage: Eukaryota; Metazoa; Chordata; Mammalia; Primates; Lorisidae
Exons: 3
Source: RefSeq, a predicted model, not a curated record